Molecule: ribosomal RNA, 421 nt
Filed under: bacterium
Lineage: Bacteria
Description: partial 16S ribosomal RNA
Rfam family: Bacterial small subunit ribosomal RNA
Source: RNAcentral
UGGGGGAUAUUGCACAAUGGGCGAAAGCCUGAUGCAGCGACGCCGCGUGGGGGAUGAAGGCUUUCGGGUUGUAAACCUCUUUCGCUAUCGAACAAGGCCCGCUUAGGGUGGGUUGAGGGUAGGUGGAGAAGAAGCGCCGGCUAACUACGUGCCAGCAGCCGCGGUAAUACGUAGGGCGCGAGCGUUGUCCGGAAUUAUUGGGCGUAAAGGGCUUGUAGGCGGCUUGUUGCGCCUGCUGUGAAAACGCGGGGCUUAACUUCGCGCGUGCAGUGGGUACGGGCAGGCUUGAGUGUGGUAGGGGUGACUGGAAUUCCAGGUGUAGCGGUGGAAAUGCGCAGAUAUCUGGAGGAACACCGAUGGCGAAGGCAGGUCACUGGGCCAUUACUGACGCUGAGGAGCGAAAGCAUGGGUAGCGAACAGG